This 322-nucleotide ribosomal RNA is filed under the name uncultured eukaryote. RNAcentral's name for it is "partial 18S ribosomal RNA". It matches the Rfam family "Eukaryotic small subunit ribosomal RNA", at positions 1470 to 1796 of the family's 1831-position model. The record is from RNAcentral.
CCCUUAGAUGUUCUGGGCGGCCCGCGCACUACAAUGGCGUGUGCAGCGAGUGCCGAAGUAGAGUUUUCCGAGGUAUUCUUGCAAUGCUCGUUUUGAUGGGGAUAGACCCUUGCAACUGUUGGUUUUGAACGAGGAAUUCCUUGUAAGCAUGGUUUAUCAUCCGACGCUGAAUGCGUCCCUGCCCUUUGUACACACCGCCCGUCGCUCCUACCGAUGAGUCGUCCGGUGAAGCCUCGGGAUUGUGGUUCUUGCCGCUUUAUUGUGGCGUGACCGCGGGAACUUGUCUAAACCUUAUCAUCUAGAGGAAGGUGAAGUCGUAACA